RNAcentral lists this ribosomal RNA (433 nucleotides) under uncultured bacterium. RNAcentral's name for it is "partial 16S ribosomal RNA". It matches the Rfam family "Bacterial small subunit ribosomal RNA", at positions 29 to 507 of the family's 1533-position model. The record is from RNAcentral.
AACGAACGCUGGCGGCAUGCCUAACACAUGCAAGUCGAACGAUCCCUUCGGGGAUAGUGGCGCACGGGUGCGUAACGCGUGGGAACCUGCCCUUAGGUUCGGAAUAACUCAGAGGAAUUUGAGCUAAUACCGGAUAAUGUCUUCGGACCAAAGAUUUAUCGCCUUUGGAUGGGCCCGCGUUGGAUUAGCUAGUUGGUGGGGUAAAGGCCUACCAAGGCGACGAUCCAUAGCUGGUCUGAGAGGAAGAUCAGCCACACUGGGACUGAGACACGGCCCAGACUCCUACGGGAGGCAGCAGUGGGGAAUAUUGGACAAUGGGCGAAAGCCUGAUCCAGCAAUGCCGCGUGAGUGAUGAAGGCCUUAGGGUUGUAAAGCUCUUUUACCCGGGAUGAUAAUGACAGUACCGGGAGAAUAAGCCCCGGCUAACUCCGUG